Molecule: unclassified non-coding RNA, 5621 nt
Filed under: Leguminivora glycinivorella
Lineage: Eukaryota; Metazoa; Arthropoda; Insecta; Lepidoptera; Tortricidae
Description: voltage-dependent calcium channel type D subunit alpha-1-like, transcript variant X4
Source: RNAcentral
AUACCCGCGUAUUCUAACCUAAAUUCGAAUUCCGAGCUCCGCUCGCGGACGCGCCCGGCCGCCGUUCUUAAUUCAAAAAUAACAUUUUUUUUUCACAACCGGCCAGUGUUCAGUAAAAUUAAAAAGUUAACGUUCCUUUUUUGAAAAAGUGCGCGUGUUCGUAAUGGUUAUUUUUAGGAGUGCUCGCUUUCGGUGACAAAAUAGCACCGAGGCCGAGGUAAUUUUGGCUGUCCGGAAUAUGGCCUGAUUGUUUUUUUUUCUGGAAAAGUGUAGUGAUGGUGUGUGCUUGUGUGUUGUGAAUAGGAUUAGUAUAUUGCAAUGGCGGAGGCAGCGACCCCCACCCCCGCGCCGCCCACCCCCGGGACCCCCGGCGCGGAGGAAGCUGCGCCCGCGCCGAAGAAGCAGGCUCGCUCGCGCGGCAAGCCGCAGCCGGAAAAACCGAAGCGGAGCCUGCUGUGUCUCGGGCUUAAGAACCCGCUGAGACGGCUGUGCUAUGCUAUUGUGGAAUGGAAACCGUUCGAGUAUAUGAUUCUCACAACAAUCUUCGCGAACUGUAUAGCCCUGGCUGUCUUCACACCCUUCCCAUCUGGAGACACAAAUUAUACUAACGGUAUAUUGGAAAAAGUAGAAUGGAUAUUCAUGGUGAUUUUCACCGGAGAGUGCGUCAUGAAGAUCAUCGCGUAUGGCUUUCUGUUCCAUCCCGGAGCUUACCUGCGGAACGCGUGGAACAGUUUGGAUUUCACCAUUGUCACUAUUGGUAUAAUGAGUCAAUCGCUGCAAGUCCUCUUCAAAGAUGCGUUCGAUGUGAAGGCGCUUAGAGCCUUCAGAGUGCUGCGACCGUUGCGAUUGGUGUCCGGUGUUCCAAGUCUCCAGAUCGUGCUGAACUCCAUCCUGAAGGCCAUGAUCCCGCUGUGCCACAUCGCGUUUCUGGUGCUCUUCGUCAUCAUCAUCUACGCCAUCAUCGGCCUGGAGCUCUUCUCUGGAGUGAUGCACAACACGUGUCAUAAGAAUGAGAGUGGCAAAUACAUAAUGGGCGAAGAUGAAAGACCUUGCAGCGUGGAACUUAACGUAGGCCACAAUUGUAACGCUGAAGAAGGCGAGGUCUGUGUGGCAGGCAACCCGCCUUGGGUGGGGCCCAACGAUGGGAUCACCAACUUUGAUAACAUUGGCUAUGCUAUGCUGACGGUCUUCCAGUGUAUCACGCUUGAGGGGUGGACUGAUAUUAUGUAUUGGAUAUCAGACGUGAAAGGAUCUUCCUGGCCCUGGAUAUAUUUCGUGUCGCUGGUCAUCUUUGGAAACUUUUUCGUCAUGAACUUAAUUCUUGGUGUGUUAUCCGGAGAAUUCUCGAAAGCGAGUAACAAGGCGAAGAACCGCGGAGACUUCCAAAAAUCACGUGAAAGGAAGGAGUUCGAAGAAGACAUGAAGGGGUACCUCAACUGGAUCACCGUUGCCGAGACGCUGGACCUUGAGAAUGAACCCAAACAAGAGAAUGAAGGAGAGGAUUCACAGGGUAACAAUUUCGAGAGAACUAGCAACGAGGGAUCCCAAACUAAUGUCGACCAAACUGAAAACACGGGCACCUGCAAAGUUUACUUUAAACGAUUUGAUAAGGUGAACCGUCGUAUGCGAAGAGCUUGCAGAUUAGCUGUCAAAUCUCAAAGCUUUUACUGGGCCAUCAUCAUACUUGUGUUUUUGAACACGAUGGUAUUGGCAACAGAACAUUAUAAACAACCGCUUUGGCUCAACACGUUCCAGGACUGUGCGAACUACGUGUUCGUUGUACUCUUUACUAUGGAGAUGUUGGUCAAAAUGUAUGCCCUGGGCAUUCAAGGCUACUUCGUAUCUCUCUUCAACCGUUUCGACUGCUUCGUCAUGAUUUGCUCAGUCUUGGAGCUGGUGCUCACAGCCACGGACACCAUCCCACAGCUGGGCAUCUCUGUGUUGCGUUGUGUUCGGCUGCUCAGAGUAUUUAAAGUGACCAAAUACUGGCGCUCUCUCUCCAAUCUAGUAACUUCUCUCCUCAACUCCAUCCAAUCCAUCUUCUCUCUCCUUCUGCUUCUCUUCUUGUUCAUCAUGAUCUUCGCGCUACUCGGGAUGCAAGUCUUCGGCGGGAGGUUCGAGAGUUACGCGCCCGAGGAACCGAAGGAGAGGCACAACUUUGAUACAUUCUGGCAAGCUGUGUUGACGAUGUUCCAGAUCUUGACUGGUGAGGAUUGGAACGUGGUCAUGUACGAGGGUAUUAAAGCAUACGGCGGCGCUGGUACCAUUGGAAUGAUUGCAUCUAUUUAUUUUAUUAUCAUCUUCGUCUGUGGUAAUUAUAUCUUGUUAAACGUGUUCUUGGCUAUCGCCGUCGAUAAUCUUGGAGAUGAUGAUGAUGAUGAAGAAGUUGAAAAAGAACCAGAUGGAGCAGAAGAAAAUCCUGAAGCAGGUAACCCACAACUUGACGAAGACACGGAAAGAGGAGAGACAGAUGAUGAAUAUGUAAACGAAGAAGAAAUCUAUUCAGACGAGGGAUCAGACCACGAGUAUGAAGAAACUGGAUCGGAAGAAGAGGUGAAUGAGCAAGACGCAGAAGAAAGAGGAGAAGCGAAUACCGUUCUUGUUACUACGGAGAAUCAGCAGAUCAAUCAAAACGGGGAUAUAAAGAAAGAGCCGUCUCCCAUCAAACGUCAGCCGACGGUGUCCGCCCGCCCCCGCCGUCUCUCAGAGGUCGAAGUCAAGGAUCAGGAAAAACCCAUCCCUGAUGGCACCAGCUUCUUCUUUUUCUCGAAAACCAACCCCUUCCGAGUGAUGUGCUUCAACAUCCAAAACAACUCUGUGUUCAAAAAUAUCAUCCUCGUCUGCAUCCUGAUCUCCUCAAUGAUGUUGGCUUUGGAAGAGCCUGUGCCAAAAACGGAAAAUAAAGCCACGGCUGAAGCAUUAAAGAAGGUCGACUACUUCUUCACGGCUGUCUUCACCUUGGAGCUGUGCCUCAAGUUGAUCACCUACGGAUUCCUCUUCCAUAAGGAUGCUUUCUGCAGAUCUGCCUUCAACCUUCUUGAUCUGUUGGUCGUUGUUGUGUCCGUUGUGUCCAUAUUUGGGUCUUCUUUCGGAUUCAUAAAGAUUUUAAGAGUAUUCAGGGUGUUAAGGCCCUUGAGAGCCAUUAACAGAGCCAAAGGCUUAAAGCACGUAGUUCAGUGCGUGAUCGUUGCGAUUAAAACCAUCGGCAACAUUUUGUUGGUGACAAACCUUCUACAGUUCAUGUUUGCUGUCAUGGGCGUGCAAAUGUUCAAGGGAAAAUUCUUCUUUUGUACCGAUACCACAAAAUUGACUGAAGACGAAUGUCAGGGCACAUACAUUAUAUAUAAAAAUAAUGAGCCACAAAGGAUGGAACGAAUUUGGAAGGAGUACAAAUGGAACUUCGACGAUGUCCUGAGUGGGAUGCUGACUCUCUUCACCGUAUCUACAUUUGAAGGAUGGCCAAAUUUGCUGUCAGUAUCAAUGGACUCGCACGAAGAAGAUAAGGGUCCCAUAGAAAAUUCGAGACCUUUGGUUGCAUUUUUCUACAUUAGCUACAUCAUUGUCAUCGCUUUCUUCAUGGUGAACAUCUUCGUAGGUUUUGUCAUAGUCACGUUCCAGAAGGAGGGAGAACAAGAAUUUAAAGAUUGUCAAUUGGAAAAGAACCAAAGAAACUGUUUGGAAUUUGCGUUAAAAGCAAAGCCAAGUCGGAGAUACAUUCCAAAACACCGCAUACAGUACAAGACAUGGUGGUUUGUGACCUCAGAGCCGUUCGAAUACUUUAUAUUCACGUUCAUCGUGAUCAACACUCUGGCACUCAUGAUGAAGUUCCAUGACGCUAAACCUUGGUAUCAAACGCUUCUAGAUUAUUUAAAUAUGAUUUUAACUACAGUGUUUACGCUGGAGUUUGUCUUCAAACUAGCUGCUUUCAAAUUUAAAAACUAUUUCGGUGACGCGUGGAACACAUUCGACUUCAUCAUUGUCGUCGGCAGUAUUAUCGAUAUUGUCGUGACGCAGGUCAAUGAGAUGGAUCCUAAUAUGUCACCUGAUAAAAGCAAAGGUUCCGUAUUAAAAUACGUGGCAUUCUUCCGAUUGUUCCGAGCGAUGAGAUUGAUAAAACUGCUCUCCAGAGGGGAACGAAUUCGGACGCUUCUGUGGACCUUCAUCAAGUCUUUCCAAGCCCUGCCUUAUGUAUUUCUGCUGAUCGUGCUACUGUUCUUCAUUUAUGCCGUCGUAGGAAUGCAGCUAUUUGGAAAGAUUGACGUAGACGGUGAAACUAUAACGGAACAUAACAAUUUCCAAUCAUUUGGCUCUGCUUUGAUGGCACUUUUCAGAUCUGCUACAGGUGAAGCAUGGCAGGAAAUCAUGAUGGCUCUCUCCCGGAACAAUGCAGAGCGUCCCGGCGAGCCGGCCGGCUGCUACAAUCCGAAUAACGAAAAGAUGUCCGACAUUGACCCGGACGGCACCGGAUGCGGCAACUGGCUCGCUUUUCCGUAUUUCAUAUCGUUUUCUUUGCUCUGCACUUUCUUGAUCAUCAACUUAUUCGUUGCCGUUAUUAUGGACAACUUUGACUAUUUGACCAGGGACUGGUCGAUCCUGGGACCACAUCACCUUGAUGAGUUUGUGAGAUUAUGGAGUGAAUACGAUCCAGAUGCGAAAGGGAGGAUCAAGCAUUUGGACGUUGUCCAGUUACUCAGGAAAAUUAAUCCACCUUUAGGUUUCGGAAAGCUGUGUCCCCACCGGACGGCGUGUAAGCGUCUAGUCUCGAUGAACAUGCCUCUGAACUCGGACGGGACGGUCAACUUUAAUGCGACGCUGUUCGCGGUGGUGAGAACACAGCUGGGAAUCAAGACUGUUGGUAUCAUCGAUGACUGCAAUACUGAGUUGCGAGCGAUCAUCAAAAAGGUGUGGAAACGCACCUCACACAAGGUCCUCGAUCAGGUGGUCCCGCCCCCUGGUGACCCCAACGAGAUCACUGUUGGCAAAUUCUACGCUACAUUCCUCAUACAAGACUACUUUAGGAGGAACCAUGCGUUUAGGAAAAGGAAGGAGCAAGCAGCAGCAGAGUCAGUCCAGACGAAUCAGAUGACGCUGCAGGCUGGUCUGCGGACCCUGCACGAGGCGGGUCCAGAGCUAAAGAGGGCCAUAUCAGGGAACCUCGAUGAGCUGGUGGCUGAAGCCGUGGAGCCUACGCAUCGGCGAACCCAUCCGCUGUUCGGAGUGCUGCAAAGCUUCAGGGGUUCCAGGCACCGGCGGGUCGAGAUGCACAAACCGCCGGAAAGGACACCAAAGACUGUUAAACUUAAUCUUCAACAAAAACAAGAUUUGGGCUCAAUGAUGAGACGAGAGUUCGGAAUGGAUGGCCGAAUACCUGAAGAAGACACAUCAAAAUAUGACGACCAUGAUCCGAGCGACGAAGAGAUUGCGAUGGAGCCGCUACUUCGUGGGAAAGACUCUGAGAAGAUAUUCCAUGCUAUCGAAUCAUGACCAAAGGUCGAGCCCGAACAACAACGUGCCUUAUUGUGUGGAGAACCCGGCGGAGACGCUUAUUGCUCGUGUUUUGACAGACCAGGGUCUCGGCAAAUAUUGCGACCGCGAUUUUCUCCAGAGUACCUCACAUGAGA